UGGGCAUGUUGAACGUGAGUGAGAACUUGUUCCUUUUCAAAAUGAAUUUUCCAAGCUCUGAUUUAAUUUUCUCUUUGAAUGCUUGUGCAAAACUCUGUGUGUGUGUGUGUGUGUGUGUGUGUGUGUGUGUGUGUGUUUCUCUAAUAAAGCUUUACUUAAACCAUAACCCAA
This is a non-coding RNA of Podarcis lilfordi (Lilford's wall lizard), 171 nucleotides long. The record is from the annotation of a GenBank genome assembly. NCBI's taxonomy places the organism in Eukaryota, Metazoa, Chordata, Lepidosauria, Squamata, Lacertidae.